UACGGAGGGUGCGAGCGUUGUCCGGAAUCACUGGGCGUAAAGGGCGCGUAGGCGGCGCGGGGAGUCAACGGUGAAAGCUCGGCGCUCAACGCCGAGUCGGCCGUCGAUACUCCCGUGCUCGAGCACUGUAGAGGCAGGUGGAAUUCCGGGUGGAGCGGUGAAAUGCGUUGAUAUCGAUAGGAACUCCGGUGGCGAAGGCGGCAUACUGGACCACUUCUGACGCUGAGGCGCGAAAGCCAGGGGAGCAAACGGG
Molecule: ribosomal RNA, 253 nt
Filed under: uncultured bacterium
Lineage: Bacteria
Description: partial 16S ribosomal RNA
Rfam family: Bacterial small subunit ribosomal RNA
Source: RNAcentral